AUGUGGACCCGUCUUCGUAAGCACUAUGAGCCCUCUGGUGAUGCCUUAUACCUUUCUGUGGUCCGUUAGGAGCAUGCUCUUCAGCAGGGUGACUCUAUUGUUGAUGACUUCUAUGCACAGAGUUCUGCUCUCUAGCGCCAGCUUGAUUCUCUCCGCAGUGCUUGUCGUACUUGCCCCUGUUCCCAGGCUGUCUAGGACAAUUUGGAGUUUCAUCGCGUCUACGAUUUCCUGUCUCGGCUCCAUAAGGAGUUUGAGCCCCGGCAUGCUCAGUUGUUUGCUCGUGGCCGUAUUUCUCUCAUGGAGGCGCUUUCUGAGAUUCGUGCUGAGGAGACUCGCUUACGUGGUGCUGGUUUGCUGGAGGUUCCCUCCGUGCUCGCUACUCGGCCUCCUUCCACACCACCUGCUGCACCGACCCCUUCUCGCUCGAGUGCUCCGCCGCUCUUGCCCACUCCUUUUGGAGGCUCAGGUCGCCCCCGUCCACAUUGCGACUACUGCAACAAUGAUGGUCAUAUUGAGUCCCAGUGCUACACGAAGAGGAAACACCUGCGCAAGGCGCGAUCAUCAUCUUCAGGGACUUUGUCAUCUACCUCGAUAGCUUCAGCCAUUGCUUUGACUGAGCAGGAUAUUCAGAGACUUAAGCGUCUGCUUGCGGCUUCAGGUUCUUCCUCGACGGGUACUGUUGUUCUGUGGCUGAUGCUUCUCGCACUGAGCAACCACCCUCUACACAGUCAGGUACAUCCCCAUGGGUUCUGGACUUUGGAGCUUCUUUUCAUAUGUCUUCUCAUUCUUCCACUUUGUCCUCUCUUCGAUCACUGGAUUCUCCUGUUCAUGUUCUCACUGAUGAUGGUACUCACUUUCUGUUGUUAG
This 867-nucleotide ribosomal RNA is filed under the name Triticum aestivum (bread wheat). RNAcentral describes it as "partial small subunit ribosomal RNA". Lineage: Eukaryota; Viridiplantae; Streptophyta; Magnoliopsida; Poales; Poaceae. The record is from RNAcentral.